UGGGGAAUUUUCCGCAAUGGGCGAAAGCCUGACGGAGCAAUACCGCGUGAGGGAAGACGGCCUAUGGGUUGUAAACCUCUUUUUUCAGGGAGGAAUUUUGACGUGUACCUGAAGAAUAAGCAUCGGCUAACUC
RNAcentral lists this ribosomal RNA (133 nucleotides) under uncultured bacterium. RNAcentral's name for it is "partial 16S ribosomal RNA". It matches the Rfam family "Bacterial small subunit ribosomal RNA", at positions 355 to 503 of the family's 1533-position model. The record is from RNAcentral.